RNAcentral lists this ribosomal RNA (647 nucleotides) under uncultured Actinomycetales bacterium. RNAcentral describes it as "bacterial SSU rRNA". It matches the Rfam family "Bacterial small subunit ribosomal RNA", at positions 62 to 722 of the family's 1533-position model. The record is from RNAcentral. Lineage: Bacteria; Bacillati; Actinomycetota; Actinomycetes; Actinomycetales.
UCGAACGGAAAGGCCCUGCUUGCAGGGUACUCGAGUGGCGAACGGGUGAGUAACACGUGGGUGAUCUGCCCUGCACUUCGGGAUAAGCUUGGGAAUCUGGGUCUAAUACCGGAUAGGAGCCAUCUUUAGUGUGGUGGUUGGAAAGUUUUUUCGGUGUAGGAUGAGCUCGCGGCCUAUCAGCUUGUUGGUGGGGUAAUGGCCUACCAAGGCGGCGACGGGUAGCCGGCCUGAGAGGGUGUACGGCCACAUUGGGACUGAGAUACGGCCCAGACCCCUACGGGAGGCAGCAGUGGGGAAUAUUGCACAAUGGGCGCAAGCCUGAUGCAGCGACGCCGCGUGGGGGAUGAAGGCCUUCGGGUUGUAAACUCCUUUCGCUAGGGACGAAGCUUUGUGUGACGGUACCUAGAUAAGAAGCACCGGCUAACUACGUGCCAGCAGCCGCGGUAAUACGUAGGGUGCGAGCGUUGUCCGGAAUUACUGGGCGUAAAGAGCUCGUAGGUGGUUUGUCGCGUCGUCUGUGAAAUUCUGGGGCUUAACUCCGGGCGUGCAGGCGAUACGGGCAUAACUUGAGUGCUGUAGGGGUAACUGGAAUUCCUGGUGUAGCGGUGAAAUGCGCAGAUAUCAGGAGGAACACCGAUGGCGAAGGC